GAUGAACGCUGGCGGCGUGCCUAAUACAUGCAAGUCGAGCGAACAGACGAGGAGCUUGCUCCUUUGACGUUAGCGGCGGACGGGUGAGUAACACGUGGGUAACCUACCUAUAAGACUGGGAUAACUUCGGGAAACCGGAGCUAAUACCGGAUAAUAUUUCGAACCGCAUGGUUCGAUAGUGAAAGAUGGCUCUGCUAUCACUUAUAGAUGGACCUGCGCCGUAUUAGCUAGUUGGUAAGGUAACGGCUUACCAAGGCAACGAUACGUAGCCGACCUGAGAGGGUGAUCGGCCACACUGGAACUGAGACACGGUCCAGACUCCUACGGGAGGCAGCAGCAGGGAAUCUUCCGCAAUGGGCGAAAGCCUGACGGAGCAACGCCGCGUGAGUGAUGAAGGUCUUCGGAUCGUAAAACUCUGUUAUUAGGGAAGAACAAACGUGUAAGUAACUGUGCACGUCUUGACGGUACCUAAUCAGAAAGCCACGGCUAACUACGUG
This 497-nucleotide ribosomal RNA is filed under the name uncultured bacterium. RNAcentral describes it as "partial 16S ribosomal RNA". It matches the Rfam family "Bacterial small subunit ribosomal RNA", at positions 28 to 507 of the family's 1533-position model. The record is from RNAcentral.